RNAcentral lists this long non-coding RNA (6262 nucleotides) under Musa acuminata (dwarf banana). RNAcentral's name for it is "long non-coding RNA (MACU_LNC003946)". The record is from RNAcentral. Lineage: Eukaryota; Viridiplantae; Streptophyta; Magnoliopsida; Zingiberales; Musaceae.
ACCUGGUACAGACUUCAUAUGUUAGUUUCUGACAACCCACUUAAUCAUGCUAUCACAAUAUGAAGAGAUUCUUAUCACUUGAUUAAAGUUAUAUGCACAAAUUUAUCUUCUUAUUUCCAUGGUGGGACUACUAGACUAUGACCACCUUUCCUGUGCAAAUGUUUGAUAAUUUCAUCAGUGUGGGAAGAACCAAAUAUAACCAAAAUCAUCCUUUGGGGUUGUUUGGGACAAAACCUCUCCCACAAUAAUGAUAUCCCGAGUGGUCAUGCAUUCCUCAGUCCUCACUGGAUCAAGAAAAACCACAUCUAAGACAUCCAACAUUUCCCAAUGGAUCAAGGGAACCAAAUCUUAGACAUCCCACAUUCUGCAUCAUAAUAACCAUUAUGGAGACAUCCAAAACAUUGCAUUGGCACUGCUAAUAACAAUCUCCAUGCGUACCAGCCAAUUAAUUUGUAUGAUACAGGCCUUAGAAUCUCACCCAAAACACUUGAUCAUGCCCAGGAAUAGAGAAUCCAUGUUAUCAUUUUCCAACAUGGGACUAUAUGCCAUUGUUGUGAUACAAGGACAGAAGCUUAACCACUUACUAUUUAGUCUUUUUUCCAACAUACAACCUGUGGGAUAUCAAUGAAAUAGCAAAACUGGUGAUUUAGCUUCAACUUAGGAGAUGGUCCUAAGGUGGAUCUUAAGGGAGUGAACCACAAAUUAUCCCAGUAGAUAUAAUCCAAUUUUCUUCUUUACUAAUCCGACUAGCAUAACUCUACUCCCUAUAAUACAGAUCCUCCUCAGCAUUCUGAUUUUAAUUACUGAUCCAUUCUCAUUAGUCUCCUUCAAGAUGAAUAUCCCAGUUCAUCUUUUUUACUUCUUAAGCACACAAAAAUCUAAUUUUGCUGUCUCACAUGUGUUAGGACUCUAGCUAGGAGAGUCCUAAUUGAGAGGGACAUUCAUGUAAAACCUACCAAAGCCGACCCCUAUUAAAGAGGCGAAGAGGCCGGCUAGGAUUAGAAGGUUGUUUCUUAGAGAAGAAUUAGGAGUUGUAAAGGAAUAGGAGUCUUGAGUAGAAGUCCUAUUAGGAGUUGGUUAGAAGUAGGAGUCUUGAGUAAGAGUCCUAUUAGGAGUUAGGGUUUAGAAAUCCUAUAAAUAAUCAUGUAUUCCUUCUCUUUUGAUAAGCAAUAGAUGAAUCUUUUCUGCAGUCUUUGAGCAGCAACUUGGAGGGAGGAACCCCUAUAGAGUUCCAAGGAGGUCGAUCCCCUAAAGAGAUCAACCCCAAGUUUAGAAUCUGCAAGGGUUCUAACACCUGGUAUCAGAGCAGCGUUCUUGGCGUCUCGCUGCCCUUCCACAGCCAUCCAUCAACCCUCCACAACCGCUCAAAGUAAUUCCCACAAUUGCUUAAAAGAUCGUCACCAAAUUCUGUCGUCAUCUCCACCACCACGGAUCAUCCUUUGAUCUCCCCGUGAAUUGCAACAGGUUCUGGUUUUCUACCUUACUACUGCUGUAAUUUAGUUAUCCUUAUUUAAAAAUCCCAAAAAAACUAUUCCUAUAUUUCUGCAUAAACUUUUCGUCAUAAAGUUUUCAUCUCUACGACGAAAGAUAUAUUGCAGAAUUCCAACCGUAUAGCACCGUCUAUUUGAUCUUGCAACUGUGUUUUUUCUAUCCAAAUCUCUACGAAAUUUUUAUGAUAGCUUUGACACUUCCUAACAGUGGAUUUUCCUUUGGUUUCAUCAAAAAAUUCUCAAUAUAAACCACUGAUUUUUUACGUCCAAUCUGCUAUACCUAAAAAUCUGUGCUGCAAAAAAUUUCAGCCGCAUAUUGUUGCCUUAACCCAUCUAUUUACAAUCUUUUUUAAAUAAAAUUUCUUAUACACUUCAUAGAUCAUCUUGCCUUCCAUCUAAGAUUGAUCUAUUAAGAAAUUCAUCUCUAAAAACGAUUUUAUGUUGCUGCAAAUUUUCGUUAUAUCCCGUUGAAAUUUUUCGACGAGAAUUCUGCAAUCAUAACUUACACCAAUUUUCUUGCUGUUAUACUGCCGAAAUUUUCUUAAUUAAAUUAGAUAUCCUUACUGUCAUAUAAACUGUGAUUUUGCUAUCAAUUUCCUCCUCAAUUCUCUCAAGUUUUUUAUGGAAAUUACAUCGAGAAACCGUUGUUUCUUCGACGACAAUUCUACUCUUACAAGACAGCACAUACUUGCUGCAACUUCCACUGAUUUCUAUCAAACCUUUGCUACCAUGUACUACAGAUCCAAAAUAUUCAUCCACAGCCCCAAAACUCCACCAAACCACACCCUCAAACUGCAUCCAAAAUAGCCACAAAAUAAUCCUAAACCGUAGCCUACAUCCACCAAUCCACCAACCCUUUCGACCAUCACCUCUCUCAACUAAUACAUGCGUUUAACCCGACAACAAAAGAGAGAUCUUAACAUCACAGAUUUGGCGGCAUAUACUAUGGCAUAUACUAUGGCAUCUGAGGAAGUAAUCAAUGCUAAAUUUGAAGCCUUCGAGGUGCGAAUGGAGGAUAAGAUUCGGACGCUCUUUACCGAACUCAGAUUGGGCCGACCACUAAGCCCCAAGAAAUCACAUCAAGGAGAGAGCUUUGCCCAAUCGCACCAAGCCCGAAGAUAUGACUUCCAAGAGAGGGGAAGCUCUAUGACCAACCCAAACUAUCCAUGCAUGAGAGUGGACUUCCCUAGAUGGGAAGAAGGAGACCCAAUUGGUUGGAUCUCACGCGCAGAGCGAUAUUUUCGGUACCAUAAAACCGCGGAUGCAUCUAUGGUGAAAAUUACAGUUAUACAUCUUGAAGGGGAUGCUAUACAGUGGUUUGACUGGUUUGAACAUACUUAUGGAGUCCUUUCAUGGCGACAAUUCAAAGAAGGACUGCUGAUCGGCUUCAGACCAACCGAUUACGAGAAUAUUGACGGACAACUAGCAAAGAUCCGACAAACCUCUACCAUUCAGGAGUACCAAACCAGGUUUGAAAGGUUAUCUAACCAAACUCAUGAUUGGUCUCAAAAACAGCUAUUGAGGACCUUCAUUAAGGGCUUGAAGCCAGAGAUCCGAGGAGAAGUUAAAGCGCGACAACCGUAUACACUUAUGGCAGCCAUCUCUUUCGCACGACAUCAAGAGGAGCAAUUGAACCAUAAAGCUCGGAGGACUAGGGUCGCUCCUCAAUCAGUAAUAUUGAAGCCCUUAGCCCCCCCUACUGUCGACCAAGUCCCUACACCAAAGAGGUUAACAAGAGAAGAGCUUCGGGAGCGAUAUGCGAAGGGGUUAUGUUGGCAUUGUGACGAGCCGUGGAGCCGUGAGCAUCGUUGUAGUAAAGGGGGACUUCUAAUGAUUGAACCGAUAGAAGAAGAGGUCAUUGAACAUCCAGAAGAGAGCCUUGAACAUGAAGAAGAAGAUACAGAAGAAGAGCCACAACCGACCGAAGUUACGGUACAUACACUAGCUGGCUACUCAAACCCGCAAACGAUGAAAGUUGGAGGCCUUCUCAAACAACAACCGAUCACUGUUCUCAUCGAUAUGGGCAGCACUAAUAACUUCCUAAACAAUAAGGUUGCUGUCCAUAUGAACUUACCUAUUGAGAAUUGCAGCAGGUUUGUCGUUAAGGUCGCCAACGAACGAAUUUUGAAGUGUGAUCAUAGGUGCCCGCAGGUGAAACUGUUGCUGCAGGACCAAGAGAUAAUUGCAGACUUCUUCCUCCUCCCUCUUGAUGAUCAUGAGGCCAUACUCAGAAUUAAAUGGUUGAUGACAUUAGGUGAUAUUUCUUGGAAUUUUAUGCAACUAAUUAUAAAAUUUUACAGUAAGGAGAAACAGGUGAUACUGCACGGGAAACGUGAGGGCGACGUAACGAUGAUUUGCACACAACAAAUGGAGAAGGUUUUGCAUAAAGCAUGCAGGGGCUUUUUAGUACAACUUGAGCAGCAAAUUAAAGGAGAGCCAAUAGAAUUUGAAGAUCCAAACCUAUUUCCUUUGCUUGCUGAAUUUUCAGAUAUAUUUGACGAGCCGUACAACCUACCUCUUACUCAUCGGCAUGAUCAUUGUAUAAUGAUUUUUUCAGUCAAAUCUCCAGCAAAUACUCAGCCAUAUCGGUAUCCACAUCUCCAGAAGGAUGAAAUAGAAAGGAUUGUAAAAGAGAUGCUUGAAAUAGGAGUUAUUCGGCCAAGUUGCAACCUCUACUCUUCACCGGUGCUACUUGUACGUAAGAAGGACGGAACAUGGCGAAUAUGCGUUGAUUACCGAGCUCUCAAUGGCAUAACCAUCAAGGAUAAAUACCCUAUUCCAGUAGUAGAUGAAUUGCUAGAUGAAAGGGAGCACAAAUCUUCACAAAGCUGGACCUUCGAUCCGGGUAUUAUCAAAUACGAGUGUAUGAAGAAGUCAUACCGAAAACCGCCUUUCGAACACACAACGACCACUACGAAUUUUUACUUUCUUCAACAAAAGAUGAAAUAUCUUGAGCAUAUCAUAUUAGAGGAAGGUGUGACGGUGGAUCCCUUCAAAAUUGAAGCAAUGCAAAACUGGCUUACCCCGAGGAACAUAAAAUUGCUACAUGGCUUUCUGGGUUUAAUAGGCUACUACCGUAAGUUCGUGAAAAACUAUGGAAAGAUCAGUGCACCACUUACUUUCUUACUAGAAAAAGAUGUCUUCCAAUGGUCGGACAGAGCCUCCACUGCCUUCGACAAACUUAAGGCAGCCAUAACGACGACGCCGGUGCUAGCGCUACCAGAUUUCAACCGACCAUUCAUCAUUAAGGCCGAUGCAUUUGGAGACAGAAUGGGAGACGUUCUCAUGCAAGAUGGUCGACCACUCACAUACAUUAGCAAGACAUUGUCUCCCCCCUAUCAAAACAUGUUAACAUAUGAUAAGGAGAUGCUCGCCAUUGUGCACGCAGCAACGAGGUGGAGAUCGUACUUGGAUUUGAUUAUAAAAUAACUUACAAAAAGUGGAAAGAGAAUGUUGUUGCAGAUGCGCUUUCGCAGCUACCUGAGCAAGCUGAAUUUUUGGUCAUUUUUCUUCCAACCAACGACUUCCUUGAGGAUAUUAAGAUGGAAUGACAGGAAGAUUCGGAGACUAGUAAGAUCAAAAAAAAUUGGAGGAAGCACUAAGCUCCGUGGCUCAUUACAAUUGGGACUCAAAAGAAUUAUACUAUAAGGGUACUAAAUUGAAAAGGAGUAUGGCAUAUCACCCACAAAUCGACGGCCAGACAGAAGUUGUAAAUAGGUGCUUGGAGAUAGCCCAAAGCCACCCACCAAAUAUGACUAUCCAAGGAGAACUCCAGACCCAACCAAGUGCCAUUAUUGAUCGAUGGAUCGUGACUCGACAACGAUGACCCACUGCUAAAGUGCUAAUACAGUGGGUGAACCUACUAACAGAAGAUGCCACUUGGGAGAACUAUGACGACUUGAAGAUCAAAUUCUCAAAAUUCAUGAAUUGUCAGCCUCGAGGACAAGGCUGAUUUGAAGAGGACGGGUCUGUUAGGACUCUAGCUAGGAGAGUCCUAAUUUAGAGGGACAUUCAUGUAAAACCUACCUAAGUCGACCCCUAUUAAAGAGGUGAAGAGGUCGGCUAGGGUUAGGAGGUUGUUUCUUAGAGAAGAAUUAUGAGUUGUAAAGGAAUAGGAGUCUUGAGUAGAAGUCCUAUUAUGAGUUGGUUAGAAGUAGGAGUCUUGAGUAGGAGUCCUAUUAGGAGUUAGGGUUUAGAAACCCUAUAAAUAGCCAUGUAUUUCUCCUCUUUUGAUAAGCAAUAGAUGAAUCUUUUCUACAGCCUUUGAGCAGCAACUUGGAGGGAGGAACCCCUGUAGAGUUCCAAGGAGGCCGAUCUCCUAAAGAGAUCAACCCCAAGUUUAGAAUCUACAAGGGUUCUAACAACAUGCCAAUAGCUAAACAUUUUUUUGAUGCAAAUCUUUCACUCUUUUUUUCUUGUGACUGCUUCACAUAAUCAUUUUCCUAUUCUCUCGACUGCUUCUUCACCUAAACAAACAUUUCUCUUGCUAAACCCCAAAAUCCUUUAUGCCUUACAAAUGAGAACAUACAACAGAUCAAGAAAUCCUAGGGCUCGUAGUUCGCCAAUUACUAGUAGAACUCCGAAAUAAUCGACCUUGCUUACCUAGUACCAAAGAGAUGAAUCCACUAACAAAAACCAUUUUUUUUCCACCUCCACAUUUCAAGAACUUUCAAAGAUGGUUCGAUUUCGAGAAUCUUACAAGACAUAAGUUUAAAGAGAUCUAUCAUCAUCGUCAUCUGCCACAGCAAAACAAAAGAUUGAGAGCUUCCAAC